UACAGAGGGGGCAAGCGUUGUUCGGAAUUACUGGGCGUAAAGGGCGCGUAGGCGGCGUGCUAAGUCGAACGUGAAAUCCCCGGGCUUAACCUGGGAACUGCAUUUGUGACUGCAUGGCUAGAGUGCGGCAGAGGGGGAUGGAAUUCCGCGUGUAGCAGUAAAAUGCGUAGAUAUGCGGAGGAACACCGAUGGCGAAGGCAAUCCCCUGGGCCUGCACUGACGCUCAUGCACGAAAGCGUGGGGAGCAAACAGG
This 253-nucleotide ribosomal RNA is filed under the name uncultured bacterium. Its description in RNAcentral is "partial 16S ribosomal RNA". It matches the Rfam family "Bacterial small subunit ribosomal RNA", at positions 524 to 776 of the family's 1533-position model. The record is from RNAcentral.